UCAAACUUGGUCAUUUAGAGGAAGUAAAAGUCGUAACAAGGUUUCCGUAGGUGAACCUGCGGAAGGAUCAUUAACAAUUGUCCGCUUUAUGGAUAAUUUAAUCCAUAUCCACCUUGUGUGAAUCAUUGAAUCGUUAAUUGGCAGGUUAGGCCCCUUCCACUGAUGAGGAGAGGCCGUGGGUUUAGACUUUGUCAGCUCGGCCUGCCAAUUUUAUUUUUUGUAAACAUGUCUAAAAUAUUUUGACUGAAAUACAUAUAUUUUAAUAAAUACAACUUUCAACAACGGAUCUCUUGGCUCUCGCAUCGAUGAAGAACGCAGC
This 319-nucleotide unclassified non-coding RNA is filed under the name uncultured fungus. Its description in RNAcentral is "partial contains small subunit ribosomal RNA, internal transcribed spacer 1, and 5.8S ribosomal RNA". The stretch from base 1 to 73 matches the Rfam family "Eukaryotic small subunit ribosomal RNA", at positions 1759 to 1831 of the family's 1831-position model. The record is from RNAcentral. Lineage: Eukaryota; Fungi.